Juglans regia (Persian walnut) is the source of this 4562-nucleotide RNA transcript. It is a transcript of the gene named putative disease resistance RPP13-like protein 1, with no coding region annotated. The transcript is spliced from 2 exons. The record is from RefSeq and is a predicted model, not a curated record. Lineage: Eukaryota; Viridiplantae; Streptophyta; Magnoliopsida; Fagales; Juglandaceae.
UCUCGCUUUGCUCUUUGUUAAAAAAACCUUCCUUCAUUUCCUUUGAUUUCUUUCAUUCCAAAGAAGAAAAACAUGGCUGAGGUGGGAAUGGCAUUUCUCUCUUCCUUCCUUGGAGUCAUAUUUAAUAAAAUGGCUUCUCCAGUUGUUGUUGAUUUCAUUUGUAGACAAAAAUCAACCGAUGAACUCUUAAAGAAGAUGGAGAUAUCAUUGCGGUCGAUGAAUAUGGUGCUGGAAGACGCAGAAGAAAAGGAAGUUACAAAUCCUAAUGUGAAAAUGUGGAUUGAUGACCCAAAAGAUGUUGCCUAUACUGCAGAAGACAUAUUGGAUGAGAUUGCUACUGAAGCCCUCCAACGCCAGUUGCUUGUUGAAUUCAAACCCGUUGCAGGAAAGGUACGAAACUUCAUCUCUAGUACUUCCCUUGAUCCUUUUAUCCAUCGCCUAGAGCCAAAGAUCCAAGAGGUAGUACUUGAUAGACUAGAACAUCUAGCAAAACAAAAGGAUCUUAUGGGUCUACAAGUAGGAGUUGGAGGAAAACAAUAUCCUGAAAGGUUGACCACUUCUUAUGUCGUAGAGUCCGACACUUUUGGUACGGGUGAGGAUAAGAAAAAAGUAAUUGACUUAUUGCUCUCGUCUGAUGCGGGGGGGAAUGAAAUGUGUGUGAUUGCCAUCGUUGGCAUGGGGGGAAUCGGCAAGACUACCCUUGCUCAACUUGUAUACAAUGAAAGUAGCGUGAAACAACAUUUCGACCUUAAAAUAUGGUUUUGUGUUUCAGAAGAAUUUGUUAUGCCCAAUGUAGAGAAAUCUAUUAUAGAGGCAGCAACUUUGUUACCUUGUCCUAAAUUUGAGAAUCCAGAGCAGCUUCAAGUUACACUAGAGAAGAAUUUGAGCGGGUAGAAAUUUCUCCUUGUUUUGGAUGAUGUUUGGAGUGAGAAACCCAUUCAUCAGGAGUUCCUAAGCCAACUUUUGCACUAUGGGACUCGAGGAAGUAAGAUCCUUGUCACCACAAGGAAUGAAAGCGUUGCAUUGGCCAUGAAGGCAAUUGCAACUCAUCAUCUAAAGCUAUUACCCAACGAUGAUUGUUGGUCACUUUUUGAAAAACAUGCAUUUCGUGAUGGUAGCUCCAAUGCAGAUCCAGAGAUAAAAGAAAUAGGUACACAAAUUGCGAAAAAGUGCAAAGGUCUACCUUUAGCAAUCAAAGCCAUUGGCGAUCUCUUGUGGUCUGAAUCAAGUGUCGAGAGAUGGAUGAAUAUAUUGAAAAGCAAUUUAUGGGAUCUUUCCAUGGAGGGGACAAACAUUCUUCCGGCUUUGAGGUUAAGUUAUAAGUAUCUCCCCUCAUAUUUAAAAAGAUGCUUUGCUUAUUGUUCGAUAUUCCCAAAAGAUUAUAUUUUUAAGAAAGAUCAAUUAGUUUUAUUAUGGAUGGCGGAAGGUUUCUUGCAACAAUCUGAAAUAGAAACUAUGGAAGAAGUUGGCAAUCGUUACUUCCAUUCUCUCGUAUCAAGAUCACUAUUUCAACAAUCAAGUUGUGUAACUAAGUCAGGCUUUAUAAUGCAUGAUCUUGUCAAUGACUUGGCAAAAUUCGUGGCUGGGCAAUUUGGCACUGAUAGUUUAAAAACAAUUGGGAAGAUGACUCGCUAUGUAUCGUAUUUCCCUGAAAGUUGGUAUAAAGUCCAUUAUAUUGAAGAUAAUCUUUUAAAGGCCAAACAAUUGCGCACUUUCCUUGCACUAGAUUUUGAAGGCAGAUCAACGGUCAUGCAUCGGAAAAUCAAAAUUCCAACGACAAUAUUAAUGUGCUUAAGAGUUCUCUCCCUAAGAAUAGGCUCUAGGACAACCAAGUUGCCUGAUUCAAUUGGCAAGAUGAAAUAUCUACGUUAUUUGGAUGUUUUUGGCUUAAGUAUUAAAGGGUUGCCCAAUUCCAUAUGUAAUUUGUGCAAUUUGCAAACGUUGAAGUUAUCCUGGUGUUUGGAUUUGGAUAGAUUGCCAAGAGAUAUGUGGAAACUCAUUAAUUUACGUCAUCUUGAAAUUGAUAAUACUAACCGAUUAAAAGAGAUGCCGUUAAAAAUGGGUAGAUUACAAUGUCUCCAGACGUUGACAAAAUUUGUCGUCAACAAACAGGACAGUGGGUCUCGCAUUGGAGAAUUGGAAAAACUAAUAAAUCUUCAGGGAAAUCUUUUUAUUCAAAAUCUCCAACAUGUUAGAUCAUCCGAUGAUGCUUUCAAUGCAAGGUUGAAGGAUAAGGCUUACCUCUAGAAUUUGGUGUUAGAUUGGUGUCCUCCAGAAGAAGUACUUGGUACUACGGAAAGUCAAAGAGGUGUACUUGAAAAUCUGCAGCCCCAUAGAAACUUGAAAAGUCUCACCAUCUACUACUACAGCGGGAGAGGUUUUCCUAAUUGGAUGGGACUAGGACUUCAUUCAUUGUCUAGGUUGAACUUAAGUAAUUGCAAAUAUUGUUGUGCCUUGCCACCCGUUGGGCAACUAUCUUCUUUGAAUGAACUCGUUAUUAACGGGUUGGAUGGAGUUGUUACAGUGGGAUCGGAGUUUUAUGGAAAUAAUUCUUCUACAAUGAAGCCAUUUGGUAUGUUGAAGUCUCUAUGGUUGAAGAAUAUGCGGAAUUGGGAGAAAUGGUUUCCUUUUGGUGAUGAAAAUGAAGGUGGAGCUUUUCCUCGACUUGAAAAGUUAUAUAUUGUGACGUGCCCCAAGCUGAGAGGAAGGUUGCCUGUACAUCUUCAUUCGUUAGCCAAACUUGAGAUCAGUGAUUGUCAACAUCUUGAGGGUUCGCUCCUCAUAGACUCUUUCUCCGUACUUACCCAUAUAAAAAUACUUGGAUGUGGUAAGUUAGAAUCUCUUACACUUGCAGAACAACAUGAGCAUGAUGGAAUAACAAACUUCAAUAUAAGUUGUCUUCAAGAAUUAAUAAUCAGUGGGUGUUCCUCGCUCAUUUCCCUUCCCAUGGUAGUUUUAAUCUCAACAUUGAAAACACUUGAGAUCAACAAUUGUAAGAAGUUGGAGCUCCCCAUGCACCGACAAUAUUCAUCCCUUCAAUUGUACUUGAGAGAUUGUUGUGAUUCCCUGACGUCCUUUCCAUUAGACCUAUUUCCAAAUUUGCAGAAGCUUAUAAUCAAUGGGUGCAGGAAUUUGCAAUCUUUGGAACAACAUGGAGGUGAUUUAUUGAUAUCGAAAAUAGAAAUACAGAAAUGUCCUAAUUUUGUAUCUUUUCCAAAAGGAGGAUUGCGUGCCCCUAACCUUGCAGACUUUAUCCUCAAUGAUUGUGAGAGCUUGAGGUCAAUGCCGGAUAAGAUGCACCUAUUCCUUCCAUCUCUUUGGUUUUUGGGAUUAGAAGAUUGUCCAGAAGUUGAGUCGUUUCCAGAAGGGGGAUUGCCUUCCAAUCUGAAGCAAAUUAUGAUCUGUAGGUGUAAGAAACUCAUUGCAAAUUGGAAGGGAUGGGGUUUGCAAAUACUCCCCUCUCUUGCAUGGUUGAAUAUCGUCGGCGAAUCAGAAAAUAUGGAAUCCUUUCCUGGGGAGUUGUUGUUGCCCCCCACUCUGAUUAGUCUUGAGAUCCAUUCAUUUGAAAAAUUGAAAUCCUUUCCUGGGGAGUUGUUGCUCCCCAAUCUGACCAGUCUUAAGAUCGAUUCAUUUGGAAAUUUAAAAUUUUUGGACAAGGAGGGGUUUCAAUAUCUUAUCUCCCUUGUACAAUUGGAGAUCCGUAAAUGUCCAAAGCUCAAGUACAUGCCAAAAGAGGGAUUCCCUGCCUCCCUUCGUUUUUUACCGAUAGAGGACUGUCAUCAUGUGCUAGAGAAAGAGUUGGCAAGGAAUAAAGGAAAAGAAUAGCUCAAGGUGGCUCGCGUCCCCAACAUAAUGAUUGGUCGCAAUCAUAUUCAAGGAUAUGAAUUUCCAGGAGGAUUUGAUUGACAGGGAGAUCACUAUUAACAAGUUCUACAGUGGAUCAUUGACAGCUUUCAGAAUUUGGAGGAUGAUCACUAUUAACAAGUUCUGGGCACAACUUUUCUUUCAUGUUUACUUAAAAUUCACACUAAUGAAUUACUCUAACUUGUAAAAACCAAAUGCAAUAUAUGAUUUUUCUUGAUCUUGGAAAAAUCGUGACACUCAUUUGGUUGAUUUUUUUGCAAUCUAGUGAUAUUGAUAUUGGAAUAUAGAAAUAUAGAAAUAGUAUCUGAUGUUAUCAUAGAAUCCAUAAAUAUUGGUAUCUGACUAAGUAAAACAUUAGCAUGCAGUACUGGGAUAUUGCCUCAACAUGAUUUGCAACUUCUGGCUUGCUACACUAAAUGGAAUGAUCAUGAAGACAAGGUACUAGAAUGAUAGAAGGGCACCAAACUCUCCUAAGCAUCUGCUUAAAAGCCUCUUGAUUGUAGUUGCAUGCGUAACGUGAGCAGCUGCACGUACAAUCAAACAUUUUUCUCAUCUCACUACAGUGUUACUCACCAAAUUAUCGGCAUCCACAAUAACUAUCUCCUGCUCCGAUUCUGUUAAAGAUAGUUUUCUGUAAAGCCCUUCUAAUUCCUCCGCCAUGAUGAAUAUCAAUGAGAAAAACCAAACCCUGCACUAGA